AAUCAACGCUGGCGGCGUGCCUAACACAUGCAAGUCGAACGCGAAAGUGGAGCAAUCCAUGAGUAGAGUGGCAAACGGGUGAGUAACGCGUGGGCGACCUACCUUCGAGUGGGGGGAUAACCUUCCGAAAGGAGGGCUAAUACCGCAUGACAUCCCGUGUUUGGAUACACGGACAUCAAAGCCGGGGAUCGUAAGACCUGGCGCUUGAAGAGGGGCCCGCGUCCGAUUAGCUAGNGGUGAGGUAACGGCUCACCAAGGCUCCGAUCGGUAUCCGGCCUGAGAGGGCGGACGGGACACACUGGAACUGAGACACGGUCCAGACUCCUACGGGAGGCAGCAGUGGGGAAUUGUUCGCAAUGGGCGCAAGCCUGACGACGCAACGCCGCGUGGAGGAUGAAGACUU
This 403-nucleotide ribosomal RNA is filed under the name uncultured bacterium. Its description in RNAcentral is "bacterial SSU rRNA". It matches the Rfam family "Bacterial small subunit ribosomal RNA", at positions 32 to 417 of the family's 1533-position model. The record is from RNAcentral.